UAACACGUAGGGGGCAAGCGUUGUCCGGAUUUAUUGGGCGUAAAGAGCUCGUAGGCGGCUUGGUAAGUCAGGUGUGAAACCCCCGGGCUCAACCCGGGGACGCCACCUGAUACUGCUAUGGCUUGAGUCCGGUAGGGGAGCGUGGAAUUCCUGGUGUAGCGGUGAAAUGCGCAGAUAUCAGGAGGAACACCAGCGGCGAAGGCGGCGCUCUGGGCCGGAACUGACGCUGAGGAGCGAAAGCGUGGGGAGCAAACAGGAUUAGAUACCCUGGUAGUCCACGCUGUAAACGUUGGGCACUAGGUGUGGGGCGUUACCAAAGCGUUCCGUGCCGUAGCUAACGCAUUAAGUGCCCCGCCUGGGGAGUACGGCCGCAAGGCUA
Molecule: ribosomal RNA, 379 nt
Filed under: uncultured bacterium
Lineage: Bacteria
Description: bacterial SSU rRNA
Rfam family: Bacterial small subunit ribosomal RNA
Source: RNAcentral